Molecule: ribosomal RNA, 426 nt
Filed under: uncultured bacterium
Lineage: Bacteria
Description: partial 16S ribosomal RNA
Rfam family: Bacterial small subunit ribosomal RNA
Source: RNAcentral
GAAUAUUGGACAAUGGGGGGAACCCUGAUCCAGCCAUGGCGCGUGUGUGAAGAAGGCCUUUUGGGUGUAAAGCACUUUAAGCGAGGAGGAGGCUACCUAGAUUACUACUUUAGGAUAGUGGACGUUACUCGCAGACUAAGCACCGGCUAACUUUGUGCCAGCAGCCGCGGGAAUACAGAGGGUGCGAGCGUUAAUCGGAUUUACUGGGCGUAAAGCGUGCGUAGGCGGUCAAUUAAGUCAAAUGUGAAAUCCCCGAGCUUAACUUGGGAAUUGCAUUCGAUACUGGUUGGCUAGAGUAUGGGAGAGGAUGGUAGAAUUCCAGGUGUAGCGGUGAAAUGCGUAGAGAUCUGGAGGAAUACCGAUGGCGAAGGCAGCCAUCUGGCCUAAUACUGACGCUGAGGUACGAAAGCAUGGGGAGCAAACAGG